Molecule: long non-coding RNA, 3377 nt
Filed under: Sus scrofa (pig)
Lineage: Eukaryota; Metazoa; Chordata; Mammalia; Artiodactyla; Suidae
Description: lncRNA (ENSSSCG00040036267.1)
Source: RNAcentral
AUUAUACUUAUCUGAAUUUUAUGGACAACCCAGGAUUAAAUAAAAGGUUUUGAUUUCAGUUACUACCUUUGAAGGGGUCAUUUUACAUGUGUAUGUUUUCUAGUCUUUGUAAUUAGGGUAAAAUAUACUGCAACUGUAGUUGCAUAUUUUGAUGCUUAAUUUUCAAUGCCUCAUGAAUAGCUUGUUUGGAUAGCUGUAGAAAGAAUGGGGGUCAUAUCCUGGGAUGCAAAGCUUUAUAUUAUAGAUAAGGAACUGAGGCUCUGAAAGUCAAAGGCAUAUGCACAUGCGUGCUUCCACAUAUGCAUUCAUAAUAAGACAUAGAUUUAUCCAAUUAUCAAUUUAAACCACUGUUAUCUUUUACAAGAUCUCAAGGAGAAUUCAAACCACCAAAAUACAAGAAUUUUAAUUUUUAACAAACAUGAUCAUCAUGAAUUUUUCUCUACACAUACAAACAAGAGUCAUACUCAUUCUUUUUUACAUAAUAUACUCAGAAUUAUCCACAGGUUGAUCAUUGUAAAACUGGAUGUUCUAACCUGUAAUAUUUUGAAGUCUCUAAAGAACCUUCUUAGCAGGCAGAAAGGAGGAGUGACUGAGCAAGCCAAAGUCAGAGUUACUUCUGAGAGGACACUCUGUGGUAAUAAUGUUGGUACCUCAAAGCUGAAUCUUAACCUAUCCUUUUGGCAGGGAGGCGUCUCUGCCAGAGGUUUAUACUUAUCUCUCUUUUAAUAAAGUAGUGUUAUCAGUAGAUUGCUCUAUUUAACUAUGAUUACCAAUUAGUAGAAUGUUAAAUCUUCAGCUUGAAUUUGAUCUGCUAUUGUUUCUGCCUCAAAAUGCACAACAUUGUUGUAUAGUGGUUUAUAUUUAUGAUAAAAGAGUUACUGAUUUCUUUAGCAGGUGAAACAGCAUUAUUCUUCUCUUAUCACUUCCCCUGGUUCUCCAUUCUCCACAUCUGGAUAGUAAGUAAGGCAGAUUCCAAUCUUUUCCAGUCAUUGUGGGACAUUAAAACAAAACAUCCUAUUUUCAGCUAUAGAAGGACAUUCAACCUAAUAUCAAAAUUUAAAUCUUUUAUCCAAUUAAACCUUCUCCUUUCCCCUACCUGCCAGCUUGGUAUUGACCCCUGGCUUUACACCAGCUGUGAGGAAAGAGGGAGUGGGGUACUCCACUCUUUUGUUCUCCUUUCUCUCUCCCUGCAAACACACAUCUUUGCUACUCUUGCUCCUUCAGGGUCGUGGCAGAGGAGAGACAAGAAAGAAAGGAUGGUGCUUUAACUAGUUGGUGCUGAGUCUGCUCUCUCACAUUAAGAUUCCAAAGCUGGCUCCUUCAUGGUACACACUGGUGAAUUCCUCAGAGCUAUCCACUUGCCUGGGUUCUUGACUUAGGUGAUUCUACCUCCAGAUGAGGUGAGGUACCGCAUCAGCUCCUGUCCCUGGUGGUAAUCCCACACAGCCUUUUCUGGCAGGACUCCCUCAUCCCAGUGGACAUCCUUUUGGGUUGGAGACAAAAGGACUGGGUCUUCCGUGGCCACUCCUCCUCCCUGUCACCGGAAAGUCACCUAGGGAACAUUUGGCGUCCUUACUCUGCUCCAUCCCACUGCUGUCCUCUCCCCUUGCCCUGCCAUCUUGAGCUACUCUGGUUUCUUCCUCAGAUGUGCUCCUAAGUUCCUAAAAGUACACAUGAGUUUGACCCCGAAACUCAUCUGUGUGCAUUCUGGUGGUGGCAGGGCAUUGUGAGUGAUGCGGGUCAGCCCUUGACCUGGCCAAAAACCCCAGUCUCUAGGAGGACUUCUCUUGGGGCCUCCUUCAUGCACUUAGGGGAGGGUAAGGGAAAUCCUUUCUCUACUAUGAACUCUGAGCAAGAGCUCCUCUUUCCAGGGAAUCCUAGUUUGCUUUUAUACAGUGUGUUGGGAUAAAGGUCACUGGGUUAGUUUGGAUACUUCCCAGCAAGGCGUGACUUUAGGGUGUAGAAGGACUCCCCAUCAUUUUCCACUUUGUGCUUAAGCUGAAAUUUCAAGACAAUAGAAGAAAGUUCUGUUCCACCUGUGUUUAAAGAUAGGCAGCAAUUUUCAUGAAUUACAUAUACAGUUAAGAAGUUGAAGUAGUUCAUCGUUCUAAGGUCUCCUCUUGGUAAAAAAUAUGCUAGGAUUUAUCCUGAAUUCCUUUCUUUGCUGGUCCAGCUUCUUGAGAACAAAAAUCAGGAAGUAAACACUAAAGGCCUCAGAGCAAGUAAAAAUGGUAUGUAAAUCUUCCUUCUCUCCAACACACUUGGGGGAGUAGCUUGAGUACUUACUUAUUUAGCUUGAGUACUUAUUUAUUUAGCAUUCCCUUGGAUGUCUCCUCAGUACCUACUUACUCUGACUUUCAUAUACUGCUCAGAUUUAAGUCUCUGAAUACCACAAAGUUAAAAAGAAUCUGAGAGAGAAUAGGUGUGUGUAUAUGUAUGACUGGGUCACUUUGUUGUACAGCAGAAAUUAUCACAACCUUUAAAUCAACUAUACGUCAAUAAAACUUUUUUUUAAAAAGGAACCACAAAAAAGUAAAGGAAAUGUAUAUCAUCCAUGACAUAUCUAGAGGCUUCAGGCAAAAUUUGAUCCAGGUUCUCACCAAGAAACCAGUUUUUGGGUUUUUUUCUGCAUGAUUUUGGCUUUAUCUUAAAUUCAGUUUUCCUUGUAGUUGUAAGAUGCUUGUCAGAAGCCCCUGACACUUAAAAUCCUCUUUUUUAUUUCCACUGAGCAUCUUUUUUUUUGCUAACUCCUAAGAGCAAUAAAGGAAACUUUCUUAGAAGCUCCCAGAAAAGUCUCUUAAUAGCUCAGUCAGGACAAACUAAGUCAUGUGUUUCAUCUCUGCAUCAAUAACCCUGUCCAGGAUGAUGAGGUGUGCCAAGUAGCUUUAAGCUGGGGCCACUCUAGAACUGAGAUUUAGGGUCAAUUCUACUAAAAAAAAAAUAUGAUUGGAAAUUUGGGGAACUGUUAGGAAGGAGAGAGUAAAGAGUGGGUGCUGGGGAAGCAUCAACAAAUGUCCACUCCAUCAACAUAAGGGGUAAAAUGGGAUUUAUUAUCAGAGUAUGAACAUGUCUUAUAGACCCUAAGGACAGGAAUGUUCUGGGCCUUAAAGAGGAAUCAAACUGGUAAUAAGUCCAUUAUGGGGAGUUCCCAUCAUGGUGCAGCAGAAACAAAUCAGACUAGGAACCACGAGGUUGCGGGUUUGAUCCCUGGCCUCGCUCAGUGGGUUAAGGAUCUGGUGUUGCUGUGAGCUGUGGUAUAAAUCACAGGUGCAGCUCAGAUCCUGCAUUGCUGUGGCUGUGAUGUAGGCUAGCAGCUAUAACUUCAAUUCAGCCCCUAGCCUGGGAACUUCCAUAUGCCACAGGUGUGGCCCUAAAAU